ACGAACGCUGGCGGCGUGCUUAACCCAUGCAAGUCGCAUGGUGAAGCCCUUCGGGGUGGAUCAGUGGCGAACGGGUGAGUAACACGUGAGCAACCUGCCCCUGGCUCUGGGACAACCACUGGAAACGGUGGCUAAUACCGGAUACGACCCGCCUCGGCAUCGAGUGUGGGUGGAAAGUUUUUCGGCUGGGGAUGGGCUCGCGGCCUAUCAGCUUGUUGGUGAGGUGAAGGCUCACCAAGGCGACGACGGGUAGCCGGCCUGAGAGGGCGACCGGCCACACUGGGACUGAGACACGGCCCAGACUCCUACGGGAGGCAGCAGUGGGGAAUAUUGCACAAUGGGCGAAAGCCUGAUGCAGCGACGCCGCGUGAGGGAUGACGGCCUUCGGGUUGUAAACCUCUUUCAGCUCCGAAGAAGCGAAGGUGACGGUAGGAGCAGAAGAAGCACCGGCUAACUACGUG
RNAcentral lists this ribosomal RNA (461 nucleotides) under uncultured bacterium. RNAcentral describes it as "partial 16S ribosomal RNA". It matches the Rfam family "Bacterial small subunit ribosomal RNA", at positions 29 to 507 of the family's 1533-position model. The record is from RNAcentral.